Long non-coding RNA from Manis pentadactyla (Chinese pangolin), 867 nucleotides. RefSeq lists it as uncharacterized. The transcript has 3 exons. NCBI's taxonomy places the organism in Eukaryota, Metazoa, Chordata, Mammalia, Pholidota, Manidae. The record is from RefSeq and is a predicted model, not a curated record.
CUUGCUCUCACUCUCUCUGCCCUGAGGUCUUCUUUCUCUGCUCAGCUGUAUCCUGCUUCUUGGUAGGAGAGAGCUUCUAUGUUUGGGGAUCCAGAAUGCCUCCAUGUGCCACCAAUCCAGGCCCCAAACUCUACUAGGAUAGAAGCUCCUUUAUUUGGGAACUUGCCCUAUGCCUCUCUUCAUCUGGCUGUUAACUUGUAUCCUUUGUGAUAUCCUUUAUGAAACUGGUGUUUUCCUGAGUUCUGUGAGCUGCUCUAGCAAAUUAAUCAUACCUAACGGAGAGGUCGUGGGAACCUCUAAUCUGUAGCUGAUAGCAUCAGAAUUGAGUUGAGUUCCCCAAAGCCCUGCUGGUGCUCAAGAAUUGAGUGGUGCUGGAGGCACUGGAGGGAGAAGGGCGAGGACAAUGCAGGUGGAGCAGAGACGGCACCAAGUAGCUCUGUGCCAUAUGGGGAAGGAACGGACAGCUCUUCCUGGAUUCCAGUCCCAUGAUGUGCUGACAAACCCCAGAUGCAGACCCCCUCCAUCCGGAAGGAGGAGACCUCUGGCUGUCCAUCGCCCAACCCUGAGUCAAUAAAAAAUUCCCCACAUUCCCCUGGCACAGCCCACUUCUCCCUCCCCUCCCUGUGCUUAUAAAAACUCCCCACCUAUCUGGUUACUCGUGACUUCCCCAGCCUCCGUUUCCGUAGACUGGGGAACAUCGCCCAGGAAUUACGUUCAAAUAAACUGCCUGGCCCUUUGUUGCCUCUUGUCGCCUACUUAUUUUGGCUAGAAUUAAUCUUACAAUAAAUAUGUGUAAAGAAAAAAUAUACCAUCUCAUUUGGUGUCCAAGAUGUACACACACACUCUCUUUAUUAAAAUUAAUACAAA